CCUAAUGGGCCUCGGACUGACAUUCACAGCAACCUGGUCUCCAUAGCAACCAGCUGUGACAUCACAAGGAACCCACGGACCCUGUAGCUGGAGCAGAGGAAGCUUGAAUGCCUGUUUGGGGAAGAAAGCCUUUGCUGCCCAUCCUUAGGCCUCUCCUGUGAUAGGGGAAGAGGACAUAGAAACGCUGAGAGAGCCAGGGCCUCCGCUUCUCUGGAGUAUUCCCCCUUCUGUAAGUGGAAGGAAAGGAAGCACAGCAGAAGGAUUGGAAUCAAGACAGCCUGGCUCCAGAGCCUGUUUUCAUAACUACGAGAGAAUGCACCAGAUUCCUUCUGAACGCCGCCUGCCGCGUGCACGGCUACAACUCUAUUUCCAGCCAUGCUGUGGCAAGCAGUUCCGGGCGGGCUUCAGCUCCCUUUGCACCACCAGCACCUCGCCUCCUGUCAGCAUGAGGCAGUUUUCAUUUUCUGCCCAGGGGCUUCCGCAGCGCCCCAACACAAGGUUGGCAGAAGCGGGCUCAGCCGGAGGACUUGUGGAGGGAAGUUGCUUCCACUGAGCCAGCCUCAAUCUGGGGUGCACAGGCGCCACCAGGUGAAUGCUUCUGCCAGGCCGUCAUCUGACCCAUAAGGUCCCUCUGUGCACUGCUUGGAAGGUCCUGGCAGGGCUGAGCCCCAGCCACCCACGGCAGUGACCUAAUAAUGCACCGUUAUCUUGGCUCUUCUGCUCUCUCUUGUUUCCCACUCCUGUUCGUCCCUCAUUUCUGGUCCCUAGAAUGACUUCCAAAAUAAACUCCCUG
This 793-nucleotide long non-coding RNA is filed under the name Homo sapiens (human). RNAcentral describes it as "non-protein coding lnc-TP53I11-1:1". The record is from RNAcentral. Lineage: Eukaryota; Metazoa; Chordata; Mammalia; Primates; Hominidae.